UUCUUCCGGUGAGAUAAUAGGAUGUUUUACUAUCGCUUCAGUUUCUUCCGAUGAGAUUCUGCAGCCAGAAUUUUUUUUAGGAUCUGAAUAUAUACCCCCUACAAACCUGUCUUUGUUGAGCACCGCUCCUACUUUCCUAAAGAGUGAAGGCCUCCCUGAAUCCGUGCUACAAACCUGUCUUUGUUGAGCAGCACCACUCCGACUUUCCUACUGAAAAGCGAAGGCCAACCUGAAUUCCCGCUACCAACCUGUCUUUGUUGAGCAGCACCUUGAACUCCCACUACAAACGGUGUUUGUAACUCUAAGUCACCGGGAGUCAUAUUGCCCCUCUUUCCACCUAUUCACCUCUGUGUCCCUUCUCUCCCAGGUCACUCCAGCUAGUGUCCUCCUGGUCAUACUCUCUCAUUGAACAGAUGGCUGACCAUUCCAAGGCCGAGCUAAUUUCGCUACGGCCACGUGGUCGUCAAGGACACCAACGACAUGGGCAACAUCAUUUUCAUUGGCAAGGGCCAAUGUGACGUGUUGAGAGUGGUGGAUCUUACCUCCUGCAGUGCCUACCAACGCCUCCUAAAACAGUAUGCAGACUCAGUAAGCAGAGGUACAUGUUUGCCAACACAUGGAUUCAAAGGCGAGCUGACAAACCAACCAGGAAGUGUCAUAAAACACAAAGUCCUCCUCAAUAAUCCUCCACGUCCUCCCAGAGGACUUCCUGCAGACCUGCCCACUAGUGCCUGUUUCCUGAUCGACACCCUUCAUCAGAGCAGCACAUUUGGUCUGAACCAGUACCUGAUGCCGUCGAAGCAGAGAGACUGUCACAGGUUCACUCUGGUCAGCCAGAGCGUGGAGAUCCUGCGGGUGGAGAAGACUCGCUUUGACAAGCUGGUGGACAACACCACCAUGAAGAAGCUGGAGGCCCUGCAGAAAACCUACCCUAGCGACAAUGAGCUGUGCACUGUGUUCCUGGAACACAGCCGCUGGAAGGACUACAAACACAGCGUGGUACAGGACCUGUUCCCCCACCGGGUUGCCCCAAUCAGAAGCCCCAAAACCCAGAAGCAGCAGGGCCACUGUGGCCCCAGCCAGGCCCUCCAGCAGACCAGAUACGUGGUCAACAGGCUGAAACAGACAAAGCAGAGGAGCUCUGACGUCUCAGAAUGCACUUUCACCUGGGGUGGUGCAGGCAGCGAUGACAUCACAGCGCUCUCUGCUAACUCCGCCCACUACCAGCUGCUGUCAGAGCUGGGGAAAGGCUUCAACAACCUGAGCCAGGUGCGCAUGGCGCGCCACACCCCCCUCCCGCCAGCUGGUGGCAGUCAAGAACACC
Molecule: long non-coding RNA, 1324 nt
Filed under: Salmo salar (Atlantic salmon)
Lineage: Eukaryota; Metazoa; Chordata; Actinopteri; Salmoniformes; Salmonidae
Description: lncRNA (ENSSSAG00000086478.1)
Source: RNAcentral